UUUAGAUUUUAUUAAAUU
Molecule: transfer RNA, 18 nt
Filed under: Eulaema meriana
Lineage: Eukaryota; Metazoa; Arthropoda; Insecta; Hymenoptera; Apidae
Description: partial tRNA-OTHER
Source: RNAcentral